CCCAUGGAGGAUGUAGUAGUCUUCCCUGAAAAGGGCAGGACACAAGCCUUGGUUAUGUCCAAUUGCAGCUCAAUUAAGAGUAUAAAAGCGUUCCCCUGCAAGCAGGGCUUUCUUUUUUAUGAGCUGUUGGACAGAAAGAAGAGGAUGGAGCUAGUAAAGUGGAAAGGGACUCCCUUGGGCGGUAUGUUUAGGAUGCUCUGUUGCUUCUUUUCUUUGGUCCUAAGGGCCUCUAACAGCUUUAAAGAUAUGUUUAUGCUGGGAGACCAUCGCCUCCUUUGCCGCGGAUGGAAAAGCGUGCCUCUCGCCCUUCCCGCAAACAGCAUUGCAGUGAUUUCCCUUCUGAGUGCUGUGGGUUUGCUUUCGCUGUAGUGCAUCAGCCUGUGUCUCAGAUACUAUGAAACCCUGCACACCUCACUGACCUCCUGAGAGGUAGAAGCUUACUUUGGAGGCAGUAAGAAAAUGGGAGGCACCAGCAUGAGUCUCUGUAGUGAAGUGAAGAAGAUGCCUACUGAUGUGGAUGAGGGCACAUGCCACCGCCAACAUCAAACCUACCAUGUGAAAGCAAACAGACUUGGUCCUACGGGCAGUCAUGGAGCCUGAACUAAAGGAGUGCACCCCCUUUUUCACUCCUACAUCCAAAAUUUUUAUCCAAGACUGAUUUUUGGCUGCACCUGCGAGAAUAUGGACUACAAGUGCAGCUGGGCACCCAGAGCUGGAGUGCACUACCAUGAGAGAGAAGAACGACUCGAAAAUGAGAAGAGGGAAUGAAACUGUGAGGCACUUCCUACUCCCACAGCUAAAAGACAAAUAGUUUCAAGAAGGAGCUUUUUCACAGAUUAUCUGCCAUGAUAAACACUUUUCAACAAAAAGCUUUCUGGCAGAGACAACUUAUCUGGCAAGAACAACAGUGUGAAAUGAAGAUAAAUGAAGAAUAUGGGCACAUGAAUCCUAAGAAGUAGGCUGGGUCGGCCUUACUCAGAGGAAGGUUUUCAGGUGGAUGGAAUUUUUCUGGUGUGCUAUGGAGCCCUAAGUGAUCCAUGCUCACUUUUCAUCCUACUUUAGUACCCUCCUAUCCUGCCACCCCUUCCUUAAGGUCAUGCAUGGGAGUCAUCCUGUGAAGGACAUGUCUGUGUUGCAUCCAGAGGCGUGAUUUCAGGAUGGAUAAAAGUAACCACUCUAGCUAAAUUAAAGUCAGUAGUGGUAAGCUUCAUGAUUAUCAGUGUGGGCUAGCAGUUUACUUACAAAGCUUCUCAAAUAGAUCUGCAUAGGUCUCUUGUAAUUUUAUUGGCACUCAUAUCAACUGCAUGUGAGAACAAGCUACCUCAUGCAUGUCUGUGCGUCCUGCAACUUACCCCUCCAGUGAAGAUGUGCCCUGUGUGAAAGAGAAGAGGAGCCUCUAUCAAGCCUUUUAGCUGCCGCGGCUUCCUAGGCAUGAGAUUUCCCGUGGAAUUGAUUCUCCAAGGGAAAACACCGUUUCCUUUACAAUCACAAAACACAGCAACGUUUGACAGCUUGAAAAUGUUAGAAUCUGAACAGAAUGUUUUGACUUGGGUUGGUUCAAACAUUUGCACUUGCUGAAAGGAAUCAAAGCAUUUUGCUGUGCAUUUCUUUGACAUCAAGUGGCACCUGCCCAUGGAGCUGUGGUGCCUCAUGGGAGGUGUAGUUUGGAUGCGUUGUGCGUGCAGCUCUUUUCAUGGACCCGUCUGCUUGUCUGAAGUACGUUUCCAAUAGCAUGCAGCAGAUCUACUCUGAGUGAGCCAAACGGUGCAGGGUAAAGUCAGAGAGCAGCCAGACAUUAUGGAAGAUCAAUUCUAGCACAGGCGAGAAAAAGGGCUAUUGAAGCAUUCAGUAUAACAUUCCAGAACAAAAUGUUUGGUUUCAAGGAACGUCAAUAGGCGUUGUUUGGAUUGGAGAAUUGGAAAAAUGACUGUAUUUCCGGUUGUGUUUUUUAAAAAAAAUUGUUCCUUUGGAAAAAUGUGUAUUAAUUAAGCUUUUCAUUCUGCAAAUUGUAGUGUUUUUCAUGGGCUGGACCACCCAAUUCUAUUCUUAGCUAGCAUAAGAGCUCAGUUUCACAGUAGGUGUAAUAGGAUUGAUUCAGCCUCUGCCACCCCAGGGGUGGAGCUAACCCGAUGAUUAGUGACACAAUUAAUGAUUUUUACCCUUGUUGCAUGAAAAGAUGUGUGUUGUUGUGGGCUUUUUUUUUUUUUUUUUACAUUCUGAGACGUAGUUAUUAUUUUUUUCCACUGGAAUUUGGAAAUCAGCCUUGAUGAACAGAGAACAUACUGACUUGCUUUAUGAGCAGUGGAAUCCCAGCUUUCUUACAUAGCUCAUGUCAAUGAAGUUGUGCAAAAGAAAGCAUCUUUACUUCCAGAACUUCAAUCACAAAAAUAAAAAUAAAAAAUCCCUCCUUCUGUCUGAAAUGCUGCCACCCCUGGAAUGGAGCACCUACUGUUAAGCAACGGAGCACAGCUCAGCAGCAUGCUAGCAGAGCAAUGAAAACUAAUGUCUUCCCCAUCUGAAAUUGCAGGAGUGGCUUAAAGAGUGAUAAAUUAUUACCCCUGGUGUUUGCCUGGGAUGCACAGACCAAAACGUGGGAAGGGAAAGCAAGCCAGGAGAUGACAGCAGGUGGGAAAGGCCUAAAUUAUGAUUUUCUUUCUGAAGUGAGAUACCUUUCCUGGGAUCUCUCAGAGAGACGGCCGCAUAUGGGGGCAGCUCUGUGCAUACUGAGUGGGACUGCUCUGAGCCUGUGAUUAGAAUGCACCUAUUUAAUCCUCUGAAGCUGGUGGAUUAGGGUAUGGCUCUCUGAUUUAUUUUGUCUGUUUGGGCUGUGUACACACUGUGUAGGGGAAUUUGGAUCUAAUCUUUGCCAUCAUUAUAAUUAAUUAGACGCUAUUCUGCAGCAUGUAAUGGUGGCGAUAGAGCCCUUACAUGGGUCUGUGUGUUCCUCACAUACUGUGCCGCGAGAAGAGAUCUGCUGGGGAGAUAGUUGUUAAUUAAUUGUUUGGUUUGUCAAAACAACACCCUGGGCCAAGUUCAAACUUGGUGUUAGGCUGUUGAUUUCAUCUGCCUGGCACCCAGUGAGGGAUUUUCCCCCAGAGUUUUUGUCCCUUUCAUUUCCCUUUUAAUGU
Molecule: long non-coding RNA, 3128 nt
Organism: Anas platyrhynchos (mallard)
Lineage: Eukaryota; Metazoa; Chordata; Aves; Anseriformes; Anatidae
Source: RefSeq, a predicted model, not a curated record